UAGGGAAUCUUCCGCAAUGGACGAAAGUCUGACGGAGCAACGCCGCGUGAGCGAUGAAGGCCUUCGGGUCGUAAAGCUCUGUUGUUAGGGAAGAACAAGUGCUAGUUGAAUAAGCUGGCACCUUGACGGUACCUAACCAGAAAGCCACGGCUAACUACGUGCCAGCAGCCGCGGUAAUACGUAGGUGGCAAGCGUUAUCCGGAAUUAUUGGGCGUAAAGCGCGCGCAGGUGGUUUCUUAAGUCUGAUGUGAAAGCCCACGGCUCAACCGUGGAGGGUCAUUGGAAACUGGGAGACUUGAGUGCAGAAGAGGAAAGUGGAAUUCCAUGUGUAGCGGUGAAAUGCGUAGAGAUAUGGAGGAACACCAGUGGCGAAGGCGACUUUCUGGUCUGCAACUGACACUGAGGCGCGAAAGCGUGGGGAGCAAACA
This 428-nucleotide ribosomal RNA is filed under the name uncultured Bacillus sp. Its description in RNAcentral is "partial 16S ribosomal RNA". It matches the Rfam family "Bacterial small subunit ribosomal RNA", at positions 355 to 774 of the family's 1533-position model. Lineage: Bacteria; Bacillati; Bacillota; Bacilli; Caryophanales; Bacillaceae. The record is from RNAcentral.